GAGUUUUGCCACAUUCAACCCUCCAAACUAUGGCUCCUACAUGUUUCCUACAUGGGCUAAUGUGGUAGGCUGGUGUCUGGCCAUUUCAUCAAUGACGAUGGUGCCUCUCUACGCUAUCUACAAGCUCUGCAUUUUGCCUGGGAAGUUAUGUGAUAGGCUGGCUUAUGCCAUCACCCCAGAGACAGAGCAUCAUUUGGUGGACAACGGGGAAGUUCGGCAGUUCACGCUGCAUCAUUGGUUGGUGAUCUGAAAGUUACCAAUAACACACAAUCAGAGAGAGAGAGAGACAGAGAAAGAUGAGAGAGAACACUCUGAGAGGACGUUAAGGCAAGCAUUGACAAGCUAAGACAGGAAAUAACCUUUGAAAUCAACAGAGGUGGUAAGAGAUGUUUAAAAGUGCCAACAACAAACCGUAAUAAUUGUAGUGCUCUUUUCAUUUCAGCUGUGGCACUGUGUGAAGCUGUGUGUUGACUUUGUCCACCUUUGAAACUCCUU
Thalassophryne amazonica is the source of this 495-nucleotide long non-coding RNA. RefSeq lists it as uncharacterized. The transcript has 3 exons. The record is from RefSeq and is a predicted model, not a curated record. Lineage: Eukaryota; Metazoa; Chordata; Actinopteri; Batrachoidiformes; Batrachoididae.